GAUGAACGCUGGCGGCGUGCCUAAUGCAUGCAAGUCGAGCGAACGGACGAGAAGCUUGCUUCUCUGAUGUUAGCGGCGGACGGGUGAGUAACACGUGGAUAACCUACCUAUAAGACUGGGAUAACUUCGGGAAACCGGAGCUAAUACCGGAUAAUAUUUUGAACCGCAUGGUUCAAAAGUGAAAGACGGUCUUGCUGUCACUUAUAGAUGGAUCCGCGCUGCAUUAGCUAGUUAGUAAGGUAACGGCUUACCAAGGCGACGAUGCGUAGCCGACCUGAGAGGGUGAUCGGCCACACUGGAACUGAGACACGGUCCAGACUCCUACGGGAGGCAGCAGUAGGGAAUCUUCCGCAAUGGGCGAAAGCCUGACGGAGCAACGCCGCGUGAGUGAUGAAGGUCUUCGGAUCGUAAAACUCUGUUAUUAGGGAAGAACAAAUGUGUAAGUAACUAUGCACGUCUUGACGGUACCUAAUCAGAAAGCCACGGCUAACUACGU
Molecule: ribosomal RNA, 496 nt
Filed under: uncultured bacterium
Lineage: Bacteria
Description: partial 16S ribosomal RNA
Rfam family: Bacterial small subunit ribosomal RNA
Source: RNAcentral